UACAGAGGGGGCAAGCGUUGUUCGGAAUUACUGGGCGUAAAGGGCGCGUAGGCGGCCUGCUAAGUCGAACGUGAAAUCCCUGGGCUCAACCCAGGAACUGCGUCCGAUACUGGUUGGCUUGAAUUCGGGAGAGGGAUGCGGAAUUCCAGGUGUAGCGGUGAAAUGCGUAGAUAUCUGGAGGAACACCGGUGGCGAAGGCGGCAUCCUGGACCGGCAUUGACGCUGAGGCGCGAAAGCCAGGGGAGCAAACGGGAUUAGAAACCCCCGUAGUCC
This 273-nucleotide ribosomal RNA is filed under the name uncultured bacterium. RNAcentral describes it as "partial 16S ribosomal RNA". It matches the Rfam family "Bacterial small subunit ribosomal RNA", at positions 524 to 796 of the family's 1533-position model. The record is from RNAcentral.